AGAUUGAACGCUGGCGGCAUGCCUAACACAUGCAAGUCGAACGGGAGUAGCAAUACUCUAGUGGCGGACGGGUGAGGAAUACGUAGGAAUUUGCCCUUAAGUGGGGGAUAACCCGGGGAAACCCGGAUUAAUACCGCAUGACCUCGAAAGAGCAAAGUGGGGGAUCGCAAGACCUCACGCUUUUGGAGAAGCCUACGUCGCAUUAGCUAGUUGGUGAGGUAAUGGCUCACCAAGGCGACGAUCCGUAACUGGUCUGAGAGGAUGAUCAGUCACACCGGAACUGAGACACGGUCCGGACUCCUACGGGAGGCAGCAGUGGGGAAUAUUGGACAAUGGGCGCAAGCCUGAUCCAGCAAUGCCGCGUGUGUGAAAGAAGGCCUCGGUUGUAAGGUAGU
Molecule: ribosomal RNA, 395 nt
Filed under: uncultured soil bacterium
Lineage: Bacteria
Description: bacterial SSU rRNA
Rfam family: Bacterial small subunit ribosomal RNA
Source: RNAcentral